GGGUUGUGAGGUUAAGCGACUAAGCGUACACGGUGGAUGCCCUGGCAGUCAGAGGCGAUGAAGGACGUGCUAAUCUGCGAUAAGCGUCGGUAAGGUGAUAUGAACCGUUAUAACCGGCGAUUUCCGAAUGGGGAAACCCAGUGUGAUUCGUCACACUAUCAUUAACUGAAUCCAUAGGUUAAUGAGGCGAACCGGGGGAACUGAAACAUCUAAGUACCCCGAGGAAAAGAAAUCAACCGAGAUUCCCCCAGUAGCGGCGAGCGAACGGGGAGCAGCCCAGAGCCUGAAUCAGUGUGUGUGUUAGUGGAAGCGUCUGGAAAGGCGCGCGAUACAGGGUGACAGCCCCGUACACAAAAAUGCACAUGCUGUGAGCUCGAUGAGUAGGGCGGGACACGUGGUAUCCUGUCUGAAUAUGGGGGGACCAUCCUCCAAGGCUAAAUACUCCUGACUGACCGAUAGUGAACCAGUACCGUGAGGGAAAGGCGAAAAGAACCCCGGCGAGGGGAGUGAAAAAGAACCUGAAACCGUGUACGUACAAGCAGUGGGAGCACGCUUAGGCGUGUGACUGCGUACCUUUUGUAUAAUGGGUCAGCGACUUAUAUUCUGUAGCAAGGUUAACCGAAUAGGGGAGCCGAAGGGAAACCGAGUCUUAACUGGGCGUUAAGUUGCAGGGUAUAGACCCGAAACCCGGUGAUCUAGCCAUGGGCAGGUUGAAGGUUGGGUAACACUAACUGGAGGACCGAACCGACUAAUGUUGAAAAAUUAGCGGAUGACUUGUGGCUGGGGGUGAAAGGCCAAUCAAACCGGGAGAUAGCUGGUUCUCCCCGAAAGCUAUUUAGGUAGCGCCUCGUGAAUUCAUCUCCGGGGGUAGAGCACUGUUUCGGCAAGGGGGUCAUCCCGACUUACCAACCCGAUGCAAACUGCGAAUACCGGAGAAUGUUAUCACGGGAGACACACGGCGGGUGCUAACGUCCGUCGUGAAGAGGGAAACAACCCAGACCGCCAGCUAAGGUCCCAAAGUCAUGGUUAAGUGGGAAACGAUGUGGGAAGGCCCAGACAGCCAGGAUGUUGGCUUAGAAGCAGCCAUCAUUUAAAGAAAGCGUAAUAGCUCACUGGUCGAGUCGGCCUGCGCGGAAGAUGUAACGGGGCUAAACCAUGCACCGAAGCUGCGGCAGCGACGCUGGAUGCGUUGUUGGGUAGGGGAGCGUUCUGUAAGCCUGCGAAGGUGUGCUGUGAGGCAUGCUGGAGGUAUCAGAAGUGCGAAUGCUGACAUAAGUAACGAUAAAGCGGGUGAAAAGCCCGCUCGCCGGAAGACCAAGGGUUCCUGUCCAACGUUAAUCGGGGCAGGGUGAGUCGACCCCUAAGGCGAGGCCGAAAGGCGUAGUCGAUGGGAAACAGGUUAAUAUUCCUGUACUUGGUGUUACUGCGAAGGGGGGACGGAGAAGGCUAUGUUGGCCGGGCGACGGUUGUCCCGGUUUAAGCGUGUAGGCUGGUUUUCCAGGCAAAUCCGGAAAAUCAAGGCUGAGGCGUGAUGACGAGGCACUACGGUGCUGAAGCAACAAAUGCCCUGCUUCCAGGAAAAGCCUCUAAGCAUCAGGUAACAUCAAAUCGUACCCCAAACCGACACAGGUGGUCAGGUAGAGAAUACCAAGGCGCUUGAGAGAACUCGGGUGAAGGAACUAGGCAAAAUGGUGCCGUAACUUCGGGAGAAGGCACGCUGAUAUGUAGGUGAAGUGAUUUACUCAUGGAGCUGAAAUCAGUCGAAGAUACCAGCUGGCUGCAACUGUUUAUUAAAAACACAGCACUGUGCAAACACGAAAGUGGACGUAUACGGUGUGACGCCUGCCCGGUGCCGGAAGGUUAAUUGAUGGGGUUAGCGCAAGCGAAGCUCUUGAUCGAAGCCCCGGUAAACGGCGGCCGUAACUAUAACGGUCCUAAGGUAGCGAAAUUCCUUGUCGGGUAAGUUCCGACCUGCACGAAUGGCGUAAUGAUGGCCAGGCUGUCUCCACCCGAGACUCAGUGAAAUUGAACUCGCUGUGAAGAUGCAGUGUACCCGCGGCAAGACGGAAAGACCCCGUGAACCUUUACUAUAGCUUGACACUGAACAUUGAGCCUUGAUGUGUAGGAUAGGUGGGAGGCUUUGAAGUGUGGACGCCAGUCUGCAUGGAGCCGACCUUGAAAUACCACCCUUUAAUGUUUGAUGUUCUAACGUUGACCCGUAAUCCGGGUUGCGGACAGUGUCUGGUGGGUAGUUUGACUGGGGCGGUCUCCUCCUAAAGAGUAACGGAGGAGCACGAAGGUUGGCUAAUCCUGGUCGGACAUCAGGAGGUUAGUGCAAUGGCAUAAGCCAGCUUGACUGCGAGCGUGACGGCGCGAGCAGGUGCGAAAGCAGGUCAUAGUGAUCCGGUGGUUCUGAAUGGAAGGGCCAUCGCUCAACGGAUAAAAGGUACUCCGGGGAUAACAGGCUGAUACCGCCCAAGAGUUCAUAUCGACGGCGGUGUUUGGCACCUCGAUGUCGGCUCAUCACAUCCUGGGGCUGAAGUAGGUCCCAAGGGUAUGGCUGUUCGCCAUUUAAAGUGGUACGCGAGCUGGGUUUAGAACGUCGUGAGACAGUUCGGUCCCUAUCUGCCGUGGGCGCUGGAGAACUGAGGGGGGCUGCUCCUAGUACGAGAGGACCGGAGUGGACGCAUCACUGGUGUUCGGGUUGUCAUGCCAAUGGCACUGCCCGGUAGCUAAAUGCGGAAGAGAUAAGUGCUGAAAGCAUCUAAGCACGAAACUUGCCCCGAGAUGAGUUCUCCCUGACUCCUUGAGAGUCCUGAAGGAACGUUGAAGACGACGACGUUGAUAGGCCGGGUGUGUAAGCGCAGCGAUGCGUUGAGCUAACCGGUACUAAUGAACCGUGAGGCUUAACCUUACAACGCCGAAGCUGUU
Molecule: ribosomal RNA, 2931 nt
Filed under: Escherichia coli
Lineage: Bacteria; Pseudomonadati; Pseudomonadota; Gammaproteobacteria; Enterobacterales; Enterobacteriaceae
Description: bacterial LSU rRNA
Rfam family: Bacterial large subunit ribosomal RNA
Source: RNAcentral